RNAcentral lists this ribosomal RNA (501 nucleotides) under uncultured bacterium. RNAcentral's name for it is "bacterial SSU rRNA". It matches the Rfam family "Bacterial small subunit ribosomal RNA", at positions 30 to 518 of the family's 1533-position model. The record is from RNAcentral.
UGAACGCUAGCUACAGGCUUAACACAUGCAAGUCGAGGGGCAGCAUGAUCUAAGCUUGCUAGAUGAUGGCGACCGGCGCACGGGUGAGUAACGCGUAUCCAACCUUCCCUAUAGUAGAGGAUAGCCCGGCGAAAGUCGGAUUAAUACUCUAUGUUUUCCAAUGCAGACAUCUAAGUUGGAACAAAGGUUCACCGCUAUAGGGAUGGGGAUGCGUCUGAUUAGAUUGUAGGCGGGGUAACGGCCCACCUAGUCGACGAUCAGUAGGGGUUCUGAGAGGAAGGUCCCCCACAUUGGAACUGAGACACGGUCCAAACUCCUACGGGAGGCAGCAGUGAGGAAUAUUGGUCAAUGGGCGAGAGCCUGAACCAGCUUAAAAGUAGCGUGCAGGAUGACGGCCCUAUGGGUUGUAAACUGCUUUUAUACGGGGAUAAAGUGAGGGACGUGUCCCUUUUUGUAGGUACCGUAUGAAUAAGGACCGGCUAAUUCCGUGCCAGCAGCCGC